This 30-nucleotide small RNA is filed under the name Bombyx mori (domestic silkworm). RNAcentral's name for it is "piRNA piR-bmo-1633892". The record is from RNAcentral. Lineage: Eukaryota; Metazoa; Arthropoda; Insecta; Lepidoptera; Bombycidae.
UUGAAGUGUCACAAUCACGACUUAAAAAGU